RNAcentral lists this ribosomal RNA (495 nucleotides) under uncultured bacterium. Its description in RNAcentral is "partial 16S ribosomal RNA". It matches the Rfam family "Bacterial small subunit ribosomal RNA", at positions 29 to 506 of the family's 1533-position model. The record is from RNAcentral.
AUGAACGCUGGCGGCGUGCCUAAUACAUGCAAGUCGAGCGAACAGACGAGGAGCUUGCUCCUCUGACGUUAGCGGCGGACGGGUGAGUAACACGUGGAUAACCUACCUAUAAGACUGGGAUAACUUCGGGAAACCGGAGCUAAUACCGGAUAAUAUAUUGAACCGCAUGGUUCAAUAGUGAAAGACGGUUUUGCUGUCACUUAUAGAUGGAUCCGCGCCGCAUUAGCUAGUUGGUAAGGUAACGGCUUACCAAGGCAACGAUGCGUAGCCGACCUGAGAGGGUGAUCGGCCACACUGGAACUGAGACACGGUCCAGACUCCUACGGGAGGCAGCAGUAGGGAAUCUUCCGCAAUGGGCGAAAGCCUGACGGAGCAACGCCGCGUGAGUGAUGGAGGUCUUCGGAUCGUAAAACUCUGUUAUUAGGGAAGAACAAAUGUGUAAGUAACUAUGCACGUCUUGACGGUACCUAAUCAGAAAGCCACGGCUAACUACGU